This 28-nucleotide small RNA is filed under the name Bombyx mori (domestic silkworm). RNAcentral describes it as "ovarian small RNA-23570". Lineage: Eukaryota; Metazoa; Arthropoda; Insecta; Lepidoptera; Bombycidae. The record is from RNAcentral.
UAUCCAGCCCACGCGCAGUCUCCCCGGA